UUGGAUUACAAGCGCUGCCAAUCCCGCAGCUCGAGUAAGCGAGCUGACAACCGCUGCCCGCCCAUACUCCCAACCACAUAACAUUAGGUUCAGCACAGCCACGCCGCCUUCCUCGAUUAUGAUUGGUUUGUUUGCUAAAUUUAAGUGGACCGGUGUAUUUUCUUUGGCAUAUUCAAAUGUCUAUCAAACUGAUUGGCAGUUAUUUGCCUUUAAUAGCGGAAGUGCCACGACUGGUACUGGCUUAAAUCAGGUCACCAUUUUUUCACUGUGCAAGCAGGCAGUUCAGCUUUGCCUCUGCUUACUGAUUUGUGACUGCUUAUCUCACUCGACUCCAAGUGAGAUCUCAAGCGUGACUGAACCCACCUCUGUGGCAAACAAUGACCGAGUCAGGCUGCUGUGUCCUGCAGUUAGUUACCUAAUGCAAUCUUAUGGACAAUUUUUAUUUGCGGUGCAGUAUUUAUCAACGCAUUAAAGUCUCUACCUGGACCUGAAGUGAAACUCGCAACAGCAUCAACUUCAGCUAUGCAACCAAACUUUCGAUUGGCUACCAUUUAUCAAUAGGUUGAAGAGGAAACCAACCUCCAGUUUUAACUCCCAACCCUGCAGUGUAUUGCUCGUAACAUGGAGGGGAAAAAAAUCACUGGCAAUACCAUCAUCAAUCACAUGAGAAUUUGGAACAACCUUUAAAAUCCAGAUUAAGUCAAUUUAAAUUCCACUGGUGUACCUAUCAAAUACCUUACAGCAUUUCUCCUGUAGCCAGUGAUGGGAAGUAAUCCAGCCAAGAGAUGAUCAAACUCCACUGAUAUAAUGUCUUUGACAUAGGAAAAUGUCCUAGGUAUCUCAGAGAAUACAAGGAGGAAGUAUUGAUCCUUCAUGAAAGUACGAUGGGAAGAGUUAUCGAAAGCUUCAUCCAAAACUAAAGAGAGAAUCCUAAGCAGGAAGGGCAAAGUGACUGUACACUUUUACCAAAGAUGAAAGGGAGACAGGAAGAUAAGGUAGACUGUGCGUUGAGCCAAGUUUCAAGGAUACAGGAGCAGGGUCAAGCCUGGAGAAUCAUGAAAUCAUGGUGGCUUGGAACCAUGGAGAAAUAUUUUGGUGACAAGCAAUUACAAUUUGAUCUAUUAUGGGAACAGGCAGUCAACAAGAAUGCAAAUGUGCAGGCUUUGUCUAGAGUGAGACUUCAGAAAAUCUAGACAGAAGAGACCACAAGUGCUGGAACCUGGCAGAACGCACAAAGCUGGAAGAGCUCAGACACUGUCUAUGGAUGUAAAUGGAUGGUCAACAUUUGGGGUGUGACCUUUCAUCUGGAUGUCAGAAAAUGUUAGAUAAGAUGUAGAAAAGCCACGUCAGAAGGGUAAGUAAAGGGGUUUCAAUAGACGGGAGCACAAGUUAGUGUGAAGAUAAGUACCAUUAUACAACAAUACUUCUAAGGUGUGCACGUGCACACAUCUUUUGCUACUAGUGCAGGAGGGAAUUUAAAUUGUGCACAAAAGGUUGUCACCCUCUACCUUGUUGGUAUGUUAAGUAUAUUUCACAAUCGUACACAAUUAUAUUUCUUUUU
Hypanus sabinus (Atlantic stingray) is the source of this 1561-nucleotide long non-coding RNA. RefSeq lists it as uncharacterized. The transcript has 3 exons. The record is from RefSeq and is a predicted model, not a curated record. Lineage: Eukaryota; Metazoa; Chordata; Chondrichthyes; Myliobatiformes; Dasyatidae.